CCUUGCUUUUAACCUCCGAGCCUCUUCCGUGUCACCACCGGUUUCGCUCUAGAAUGUCAGGGAUAAAGAGGCUCCAUUGGAUGUUUGUCGGCGCCGGAGGAGCUCUGGGUCACCCACUGCCCGAUUCGCCUACUCUCGAUACCUCAGAACAGGUCUACAUCUCCUCACUUGCGUUGUUGAAGAUGCUUGAGCACGGUACACGUAUGUUUAGCUCUAAUCUGAAUCCCUAAUUAGGGUUUGGUUUUAUAAUUGCUUAGCUUUCGAAUUGAUGUAUGGACUUUAAAAACCUAUCUGAGUUGUUAGGGUUGUAGAUUGUUGCGAAAUUGUGCAUUUUAGAUCUCAAUUAGUGUUUGAUUCUUAUAGACUUGAAACUAAAUUUGAUUUGGUGUUUUACUUACCGGAUAAUCGGAAAAGCUAGGGUUCCCGGAGGUGAUGGGCUUGAUGCUGGGAGAGUUUGUGGAUGACUAUACUAGUUAAAGUUGUGGAUGUGUUUUCUAUACCACAGAGUGGCCGGAUGGAACUUGGGGAACUGUUAAAGGAAGUUGCACUGUAGUUAGAGACAUUGCAGACUUGUGUUACCAUUCGUAUCCACUCUACUUGAAGGAGUUGCGCGAAUCCCCUGCUUCAGAAGAAGUUCGUACUUUAAGGUAAUCGUAUUUAAAUUAGUACUCUGGUUAUACAUGCUGGAGAAAAUGAUUAGAGUUAGACUGUUAUGUAAUCUCAGAUAGGCUAAGUGGUUUUCUUAGGAGUUGUCUUGUAGGUUGAUUCAUAUACCAGCAUGUAUACUAGUUGCCAGUUGGUGUUUUGGGGCUAAUGGUGGCGAUUCCUCUUUACACUGUAAUUGUUGUUGUGAAAAGUCCAUAUAUGUUGUUUAAAGGUUGGUAUCGACUGAUCCACGAUAUGAUUAGUCGAGAAGGACCAUUUCUUGAAGUAGCUUGCAUCCCAAUUGUUGGUUUGAUAAUCCUUAUAUGGCCAAUUGUGGUUGUUGGAAGUAUCAUACUCACAGUUGUCUCCAGUAUUUUUGUGGGAUUAUAUGCAGCAGUUGUAGAUGACGGGAAACCAAUGCUUGCUAGAUUUGGUGCCUUUUUUCUAUGGUAAAUAUUAACAAUAUCAAUCACAUUUUGUGAAGUUAGGCCCCAUUAUCAAAAAAGAGCUGUUCUCUCAUUUAUCAUAGCUUUCUGUCUGAGGAAGGCGAGCAGCUGAAGGUAAGCUCAGAUUUGCUCUAAUGGAGGCACCUGCAAUGCAUAUGACAAGUUUGGUCAAUUCCAGAUCAGUUAGAGAAGCUAUACAUGAAGUAAAAAUGGUGCAAGUAUGCUUUUUAGUUCAUUGGUUUAGUUGCAAUGGUGUAUGCAUUUAAUUUCUAUCAAAAGAGCUAAUUUAUAACUAGUUAGGGAUGCAAUUUGGCUGUUGCACAUUGUUGUAAUUUGGCUUGCUCAUGUUAGGAGGUAUUUGAAGUUUGA
Molecule: RNA transcript, 1460 nt
Organism: Argentina anserina (silverweed cinquefoil)
Lineage: Eukaryota; Viridiplantae; Streptophyta; Magnoliopsida; Rosales; Rosaceae
Exons: 2
Source: RefSeq, a predicted model, not a curated record